Molecule: ribosomal RNA, 492 nt
Filed under: uncultured bacterium
Lineage: Bacteria
Description: partial 16S ribosomal RNA
Rfam family: Bacterial small subunit ribosomal RNA
Source: RNAcentral
AGUGAACGCUGGCGGUAGGCCUAACACAUGCAAGUCGAACGGCAGCACAGUAAGAGCUUGCUCUUACGGGUGGCGAGUGGCGGACGGGUGAGGAAUACAUCGGAAUCUACUUUUUCGUGGGGGAUAACGUAGGGAAACUUACGCUAAUACCGCAUACGACCUACGGGUGAAAGCAGGGGAUCUUCGGACCUUGCGCGAUUGAAUGAGCCGAUGUCGGAUUAGCUAGUUGGCGGGGUAAAGGCCCACCAAGGCGACGAUCCGUAGCUGGUCUGAGAGGAUGAUCAGCCACACUGGAACUGAGACACGGUCCAGACUCCUACGGGAGGCAGCAGUGGGGAAUAUUGGACAAUGGGCGCAAGCCUGAUCCAGCCAUACCGCGUGGGUGAAGAAGGCCUUCGGGUUGUAAAGCCCUUUUGUUGGGAAAGAAAAGCAGCAGGUUAAUACCCUGCUGUUCUGACGUUACCCAAAGAAUAAGCACCGGCUAACUUCGUG